Molecule: ribosomal RNA, 492 nt
Filed under: uncultured bacterium
Lineage: Bacteria
Description: partial 16S ribosomal RNA
Rfam family: Bacterial small subunit ribosomal RNA
Source: RNAcentral
AGUGAACGCUGGCGGUAGGCCUAACACAUGCAAGUCGAACGGCAGCACAGUAAGAGCUUGCUCUUACGGGUGGCGAGUGGCGGACGGGAGAGGAAUACAUCGGAAUCUACUUUUUCGUGGGGGAUAACGUAGGGAAACUUACGCUAAUACCGCAUACGACCUACGGGUGAAAGCAGGGGAUCUUCGGACCUUGCGCGAUUGAAUGAGCCGAUGUCGGAUUAGCUAGUUGGCGGGGUAAAGGCCCACCAAGGCGACGAUCCGUAGCUGGUCUGAGAGGAUGAUCAGCCACACUGGAGCUUAGACACGGUCCAGACUCCUACGGGAGGCAGCAGUGGGGAAUAUUGGACAAUGGGCGCGAGCCUGAUCCAGCCAUACCGCGUGUGUGACGAAGGCCUUCGGGUUGUAAAGCCCUUUUGUUGGGAAAGAAAAGCAGCAGGUUAAUACCCCGCUGUUCUGACGGUACCCAAAGAAUAAGCACCGGCUAACUUCGUG